UCAAACCAUCAAUAGAUUUGG
RNAcentral lists this unclassified non-coding RNA (21 nucleotides) under Chlamydomonas reinhardtii. RNAcentral's name for it is "small RNA Cre_2428". The record is from RNAcentral. Lineage: Eukaryota; Viridiplantae; Chlorophyta; Chlorophyceae; Chlamydomonadales; Chlamydomonadaceae.